UACGGAGGGUGCAAGCGUUAUCCGGAUUUAUUGGGUUUAAAGGGUCCGUAGGUGGACCGUUAAGUCAGUGGUGAAAGCCCCUUGCUCAACAAGGGAACUGCCAUUGAAACUGACAGUCUUGAGUAUAAGUGAAGUUGGCGGAAUGUGUGGUGUAGCGGUGAAAUGCUUAGAUAUCACACAGAACACCGAUUGCGAAGGCAGCUGGCUAACUUAUAACUGACACUGAGGGACGAAAGUGUGGGGAUCAAACAGG
This 253-nucleotide ribosomal RNA is filed under the name uncultured bacterium. RNAcentral's name for it is "partial 16S ribosomal RNA". It matches the Rfam family "Bacterial small subunit ribosomal RNA", at positions 524 to 776 of the family's 1533-position model. The record is from RNAcentral.